Molecule: long non-coding RNA, 1701 nt
Organism: Brachypodium distachyon (stiff brome)
Lineage: Eukaryota; Viridiplantae; Streptophyta; Magnoliopsida; Poales; Poaceae
Exons: 2
Source: RefSeq, a predicted model, not a curated record
CUCCCUCUCUCUCAUUCCCCCGAGCCCCCUCCCUCUCCCUCGAUCCACCCCGCCAGAGCCGCCCCCCUCCGCUCCCUUCGGCCAUCCCUCCGCCCCCGGCCGGCCGCCGCCACCCGCUCGUGCGCCCCGGACGACCUUGUGCCCCCCCACCCCACAGACGGCGCCCCCGACGGUCGGGCCCCCGCCACCCGACUCCCACGGCGUGCCACCGCGGACGGACAGGGCCGGAUCCGGCAACCCUCGGCGUUGCUCCGCCGGAUCGGGCCACCACCAGCCUUCCUCGGCCGCGUCGCCGCCGUCCGCCAUGGAGUCGACGGCACAGUGAUGGAGCCGACGGCGCCAUCAUGGAGUUGAAGAUCUUGGUCGGUCCAGGCCCGGUCCCGAGAUUUCGGGGGUCCGGUGCGAAAUUAGUACUCGGUGCCCUCUAAGGGCCCUUAAUAAAAUAUAUUAAUAAUAAAUAAUGUGUGUGUAUGUAAAAUUUCACCUAAGAAACUAAUAAUGAAUCUAAAAUUACAUUUAUAUCAAAAGGUUCAUAUAUAUUACCUUAAAAAUUUCUUCUAACAUUCUUUGAUGCAAAGUCUUUGAUGAUGUUAUGAAUAUCAAUUCCAUCCACCAAUUUCUUCUCGAUGCAUAAAGUUGCCAAACCAUUUAACCUCUCUUGAGAGAUUAUAGACGUUAACUAGUUCUUUAACAAUUUCAACUGCUGCCACCAAUUUCUUCCUUUUCCUUUUCUCACGAUAUUUUCUAGACGACAAAUGGCUUCAUAAUUCUGAAAUUUAACGAGACUAGAUAAAUUCACAAUCAAAAAUAGAAAAUUAGCACAGAGAAUUAAUAAAGAUUAAAGAUGGCUAGAUGCCUUGAUUGAUAAGAUGCUCACCGUGAUUAACACCUAUGAUUAUCAGGUCCCAUGAGGCCGUGAUUAAUCACCAACUCCUGGCGAUGCGAUGCAGCCCCUGUCCCUGAUAAAGCGAGCGAUGCAGCAGCAGCAGACGCAGUCACGCAGAUGAGUAGAGCCGGGGCCUACUUGCAGAUAGGGCUGGGCGGGCAGACAUGCAGAGCGCAGCGCAGGCCGGCCAGGGUCAGGCCGUCAGUGGCGGUGUUCGGUCAAGGAGGCGAAGGGUCUCGUAGUCGGGGACAGCAACGGAGCGAUCUGCGAUAGGGUGGGAGUCGAUCGGCCAAAAGAAGUUACGAUUUGUUCUGGGCUGGCCCAUUUACCAACAUAUGUAUAUAACAGGCCUAUAUAUGUAGGGCCCCCUCCAAAGUUCGAGGCCCAGUGCGGGGGCACCGCUUGCAUCCCCCAGGGCCGGGCCUGGGUCGGUCUCCUAGCCCUCUCUGUCUCUCUCCGCAGUCCCGAUUUUCCUCUCACUCUCUCUUUCUCUGACAUCUGCAUGGGUGCCAAGGAGCUGCCGCCGAUGCUUGCGGUGCGGUGAAGUCGAUGGGCUACUACAGGAGCGUGCCUGUCGUCGGAGAGCUUUGGAUCGACCCCGAUGGCGACGGCUUCGACCAGUUCAUCUCGUUCUGUUUUGAAUGUAUCUUUUCUUGUCAAGUGUAUGUUAAUCCCCUAUUCUGGAUCUACAGAUAGAGACAUUUGGUUAAGGUAUUUGAUUUGCGAGACAUUUGAUUAAUUUGUGUGAAUUGUGAUUUGGUGAAUCGGGCCUGUGACCUGCUUUUUUUAAUUGAAUGAAAAGCUAUCACUGUCGA